RNAcentral lists this ribosomal RNA (345 nucleotides) under uncultured Diversispora. Its description in RNAcentral is "SSU rRNA". It matches the Rfam family "Eukaryotic small subunit ribosomal RNA", at positions 569 to 914 of the family's 1831-position model. Lineage: Eukaryota; Fungi; Glomeromycota; Glomeromycetes; Diversisporales; Diversisporaceae. The record is from RNAcentral.
AGCAGCCGCGGUAAUUCCAGCUCCAAUAGCGUAUAUUAAAGUUGUUGCAGUUAAAAAGCUCGUAGUUGAACUUCGGAAUUUGCCCAUUGGUCAGGCUUAACUGUCUGCACUGGUGUGACCGAGUUCCUACCUUCUGAGGAAUCUCCAUGUCAUUCAGUUGGUGUGGGGGGAAAUCAGGACUGUUACUUUGAAAAAAUUAGAGUGUUUAAAGCAGGCGUCCGUCUGAAUACAUUAGCAUGGAAUAAUAAAAUGGACGGUUUGGUUCUAUUUUGUUGGUUUCUAGGAUCACCGUAAUGGAUUAAUAGGGAUAGUUGGGGGCAUUAGUAUUCAAUUGGUCAGAGGUGA